Ostrea edulis (European flat oyster) is the source of this 867-nucleotide long non-coding RNA. RefSeq lists it as uncharacterized. Lineage: Eukaryota; Metazoa; Mollusca; Bivalvia; Ostreida; Ostreidae. The record is from RefSeq and is a predicted model, not a curated record. The transcript has 3 exons.
ACCGAUAGCAACCACGUGAUCAGUAAAAAUCGUGUAUUUUCACGUGAAAUUAUUUUUCGGAAUUCCGUACAUCGCCAUAGAGUAGUUGAAAAACAAAAAGGGGUUCCGAAAGUACAAGUUGUUGCUGUGACUGAAUCGAUGAUUGAGAGGGUCGUCUCGACGAAAGAUAUAGAAAUUUGGCCAUAAUUUAGAUUAGGAAUACGUCAAUGUAAUAAUAGUGGACUAAAUGUUUCGUCCGUGCAGAAUGGCACUUUUUACCUCACGAAAUUCACCACUAUGCAUAGCUGUGCUACGUAAACAAAGUUGUUGAUGUAGCGUGAUCGUGAUGUCCGAGUGCUGCGAGUUUCAAUACUGUUUAUGUAGUCAUUGAGAGUUUAAACAAAGUUUCUUCUGAGAAGAGGAAUUCGAUGGAUGCAUUCAACGUGGACAACGAAAUCAUAAUUUCGUUUGCAUCAUCCUAAGGACCAGUGCAAGUUGAAAUGGGCUUCCAGCCAACAACUUCAACAGCAAUUUGCCAUGAAAAUCAGCAAGAAAGGUACUUCAUUUACAUUGAUGAUGUCAUAUCCCCUGGACCCCACAACUUUACAGGUUACAGAGAAAAUUCAAGAACUUCUGCAAAAUGUGGGACUUGGAUAGAAUCAAUAAUGUAUUUGUGAGCCCAGAGCAAUGGAUAUAUUGUGCAACAUACUAAAGUGUGAAUUUAAUGGAAAACAAGUACAUGUACUCAUGUAUUAUAUGUCUUUUUUAAAGACAAUAAUAUUGUAUAAAUAUAGAGGAAGUGUCAUUGUUGAUUAUUCUAAGUUUUUGAUAUAUCAAAAUCGGUAAACAUUUCUAAAUGAAAAUAAAAUACCAAUUUUAUAACUUUAA